UAUGUGAUCGUCUCUCGCAUAUCAAUAAGCGGAGGAAAAGAAACUAACAAGGAUUCCCCUAGUAACGGCGAGUGAAGCGGGAAGAGCUCAAAUUUGAAAUCUUAAAGGGUUUCCCUUUACGAAUUGUAGUUUAAAGAAGUGUUUUCUGUUGAGGUUUUGGUAAAAGUUCUUUGGAAUAGGACAUCAUAGAGGGUGAGAAUCCCGUAUUUGACCUUUACUUUCAACUUUGUGAUACACUUUCAAAGAGUCGGAUUGUUUGGGAAUGCAGUCCAAAAUGGGUGAUAAAUUUCAUCUAAAGCUAAAUAUUGGCGAGAGACCGAUAGCGAACAAGUACCGUGAGGGAAAGAUGAAAGGAACUUUGAAAAGAGAGUUAAACAGUACGUGAAAUUGUCAAAAGGGAAGCGUUUGACACCAGUGUUGUUUUUCUGAAAAUCAAUUAAAGAACUGUUUAUGCUAAGCUGUUUAGACUUUAUCAGCUAUCUGUUUAGUUUUGAGCUUUUCUUUAAGUGCACUUUUCAGUUAACAAGUCAACAUCAAUUUCUUUUGCUGUAAAAAAGCUUGAGGAAGGUGGCUUGAGAUUCGUCUUAAGUGUUUAUAGCCUCUUGCCUAUGCAGUCGGAGAGAUUGAGGUCUGUAGCGUAGAUCCUUCGGGGCUAAAUGCAUUUGUGCUAAGUUAUAGCAUUUUAUAGACAACUUGUUGACUAUGAUUUGUCUUGUAGCUUACUCGCUUAUGUUAUUUUACCUACGCUUAGGAUGUUGAUAUGCAUGACUGAUAU
RNAcentral lists this ribosomal RNA (775 nucleotides) under uncultured Neocallimastigales. Its description in RNAcentral is "partial large subunit ribosomal RNA". It matches the Rfam family "Eukaryotic large subunit ribosomal RNA", at positions 24 to 640 of the family's 3401-position model. Lineage: Eukaryota; Fungi; Neocallimastigomycota; Neocallimastigomycetes; Neocallimastigales. The record is from RNAcentral.